GAGUUUGAUUCCUCGGCUCAGGACGAACGCUGGCGGCGUGCUUAACACAUGCAAGUCGAACGAUGAAGUGGAGCUUGCUCCACGGAUUAGUGGCGAACGGGUGAGGAACACGUGAGAAACCUGCCUCGGAUUUUGGGAUAACAAAUGGAAACGUUUGCUAAUACCAAAUAACGUCGGAGAGUCACAUGGCUUUCUGACGAAAGGAAUUCCGAUUCGAGAGGGUCUCGCGGCCUAUCAGCUAGUUGGCGGGGUAAUGGCCCACCAAGGCAACGACGGGUAGCUGGUCUGAGAGGAUGGUCAGCCACACUGGGACUGAGACACGGCCCAGACUCCUACGGGAGGCAGCAGUGGGGAAUCCUGCGCAAUGGGCGAAAGCCUGACGCAGCAACGCCGCGUGCGGGAAGAAGGCUUUCGGGCUGUAAACCGCUUUCAGCAGGAACGAAAAUGACGGUACCUGCAGAAGAAGGAGCGGCCAACUAUGUGCCAGCAGCCGCGGUGAUACAUAGGCUUCAAGCGUUGUCCGGAUUUAUUGGGCGUAAAGAGUUCGUAGGCGGUCGAGUAAGUCGGGUGUGAAAAUUCUGGGCUCAACCCAGAAACGCCACCCGAUACUGCUUAACUUGAGUUCGAUAGGGGAGUGGGGAAUUCCUAGUGUAGCGGUGAAAUGCGCAGAUAUUAGGAGGAACACCGGUGGCGAAGGCGCCACUCUGGAUCGAUACUGACGCUGAGGAACGAAAGCAUGGGUAGCAAACAGGAUUAGAUACCCUGGUAGUCC
RNAcentral lists this ribosomal RNA (772 nucleotides) under uncultured Actinomycetes bacterium. RNAcentral describes it as "bacterial SSU rRNA". It matches the Rfam family "Bacterial small subunit ribosomal RNA", at positions 9 to 796 of the family's 1533-position model. Lineage: Bacteria; Bacillati; Actinomycetota; Actinomycetes. The record is from RNAcentral.